CAGUCGCCGCGGUAAUACAGAGGGUGCGAGCGUUAAUCGGAUUUACUGGGCGUAAAGCGUGCGUAGGCGGCUUUUUAAGUCGGAUGUGAAAUCUCUGAGCUUAACUUAGGAAUUGCAUUCGAUACUGGGAAGCUAGAGUAUGGGAGAGGAUGGUAGAAUUCCAGGUGUAGCGGUGAAAUGCGUAGAGAUCUGGAGGAAUACCGAUGGCGAAGGCAGCCAUCUGGCCUAAUACUGACGCUGAGGUACGAAAGCAUGGGGAGCAAACAGGAUUAGAUACCCCCGUAGUCCCUGUCUCUUAUAA
This 301-nucleotide ribosomal RNA is filed under the name uncultured bacterium. RNAcentral's name for it is "partial 16S ribosomal RNA". It matches the Rfam family "Bacterial small subunit ribosomal RNA", at positions 509 to 809 of the family's 1533-position model. The record is from RNAcentral.